ACCGGGCACGGUGGCACAUGCAGCUACUCGGGAGGCUGAGGUGGGAGGAUCACUUGAGUCCAGGAGUUCUGGGCUGCCGUGCGCUAUGCCGAUCAGGUGUCCACGCUAAGUUCGGCAUCAGUAUUGUGACCUUCUGGGAGCAGGGGCCCACCAGGUUGCCUAAGGAGGGGUGAACCAGCCCAGGUCAGAAAUGGAGCAGGUCAAAACUCCCGUGCUGAUCAGAAACUCCCUAAACUUACUUCAUUCAUAGUUCCCACAGGAGGUGACCUUUGGUCUUCCUCCUU
Molecule: signal recognition particle RNA, 284 nt
Filed under: Chinchilla lanigera (long-tailed chinchilla)
Lineage: Eukaryota; Metazoa; Chordata; Mammalia; Rodentia; Chinchillidae
Description: Metazoan signal recognition particle RNA (ENSCLAG00000022024.1)
Rfam family: Metazoan signal recognition particle RNA (bases 109-222)
Source: RNAcentral